AUUGAACGCUGGCGGCAUGCCUUACACAUGCAAGUCGAACGGCAGCAUGGGUGCUUGCACCUGAUGGCGAGUGGCGAACGGGUGAGUAAUGCAUCGGAACGUACCCGGAAGUGGGGGAUAACGUAGCGAAAGUUACGCUAAUACCGCAUAUUCUGUGAGCAGGAAAGAGGGGGAUCGCAAGACCUCUCGUCUGCGGAGCGGCCGAUGUCGGAUUAGCGAGUCGGCGGGGUAAAGGCCCACCAAGGCAACGAUCCGUAGCGGGUCUGAGAGGAUGAUCCGCCACACUGGGACUGAGACACGGCCCAGACUCCUACGGGAGGCAGCAGUGGGGAAUUUUGGACAAUGGGGGCAACCCUAAUCCAGCUAUGCCGCGUGAGUGAAGAAGGCCUUCGGGUUGUAAAGCUCUUUCGGCUGGGAAGAAAUCGCAUCUCCUAAUACGGGGUGUGGAUGACGGUACCAGCAUAAGAAGCACCGGCUAACUACGUGCCAGCAGCCGCGGUAA
Molecule: ribosomal RNA, 502 nt
Filed under: uncultured bacterium
Lineage: Bacteria
Description: partial 16S ribosomal RNA
Rfam family: Bacterial small subunit ribosomal RNA
Source: RNAcentral